RNAcentral lists this ribosomal RNA (464 nucleotides) under Clostridioides difficile. Its description in RNAcentral is "bacterial LSU rRNA". It matches the Rfam family "Bacterial large subunit ribosomal RNA", at positions 2056 to 2517 of the family's 2925-position model. Lineage: Bacteria; Bacillati; Bacillota; Clostridia; Peptostreptococcales; Peptostreptococcaceae. The record is from RNAcentral.
AAGGAGCCGGAUACAUGCAACAGGACGGAAAGACCCCAUGGAGCUUUACUGUAGCUUGACAUUUGGUCUUGGUACUACAUGUACAGGAUAGGUGGGAGGCUUUGAAACCAGGACGCCAGUUUUGGCGGAGCCAUCCUUGGGAUACCACCCUUGUAGUACUGGGACUUUAACCACAGGCCAUGAAUCUGGUCUUGGGACACUGUCAGGUGGGCAGUUUGACUGGGGCGGUCGCCUCCCAAAAGGUAACGGAGGCGCUCAAAGUUUCUCUCAGUACGGUCGGAAAUCGUACGUAGAGUGUAUAGGCAAAAGAGAGCUUGAUUGCAAGACAUACAGGACGAGCAAGGAUGAAUAUAGGACUUAGUGUUCCGGUGGUUCUACCUGGCAUGGCCAAUCCUCCACGACAAUAAGCCACUCUGACGAAUAAAGGAUUAUCACCACCAAAGACUCAACGUCGCAGGGGUGGU